Molecule: ribosomal RNA, 507 nt
Filed under: uncultured archaeon
Lineage: Archaea
Description: bacterial SSU rRNA
Rfam family: Archaeal small subunit ribosomal RNA
Source: RNAcentral
GCAAUGUGAGAAAUCGCGACGGGGGGAUCCCAAGUGCCAUUCUUAACGGGAUGGCUUUUCAUUAGUGUAAAGAGCUUUUGGAAUAAGAGCUGGGCAAGACCGGUGCCAGCCGCCGCGGUAACACCGGCAGCUCUAGUGGUAGCAAUUUUUAUUGGGCCUAAAGCGUCCGUAGCCGGUUUAAUAAGUCUCUGGUGAAAUCCUGUAGCUUAACUGUGGGAAUUGCUGGAGAUACUAUUAGACUUGAGACCGGGAGAGGUUAGAGGUACUCCCAGGGUAGAGGUGAAAUUCUGUAAUCCUGGGAGGACCGCCUGUUGCGAAGGCGUCUAACUGGAACGGUUCUGACGGUGAGGGACGAAAGUUAGGGGCGCGAACCGGAUUAGAUACCCGGGUAGUCCUAACUGUAAACGAUGCGGACUUGGUGUUGGGGUGGCUUUGAGCUGCUUCAGUGCCGAAGGGAAGCUGUUAAGUCCGCCGCCUGGGAAGUACGGUCGCAAGACUGAAACUUAA